Molecule: ribosomal RNA, 75 nt
Filed under: Diplasiolejeunea involuta
Lineage: Eukaryota; Viridiplantae; Streptophyta; Jungermanniopsida; Porellales; Lejeuneaceae
Also listed under: 2 other names
Description: partial 26S ribosomal RNA
Rfam family: Eukaryotic large subunit ribosomal RNA
Source: RNAcentral
CGGACCUCAGAUCAGGCAAGACCACCCGCUGAGUUUAAGCAUAUCACUAAGCGGAGGAAAAGAAACUAACAAGGA